Molecule: RNA transcript, 6653 nt
Organism: Biomphalaria glabrata
Lineage: Eukaryota; Metazoa; Mollusca; Gastropoda; Planorbidae
Exons: 3
Source: RefSeq, a predicted model, not a curated record
UUAGUUGUGAAAUAAACUUUACUUUGGAACUUGAUUAAGUGAAAUUUAGUCUAAGAUUAUCUAGAGCCUAGAUCUUGAUUCGAGUUAAUCUAGUCACUCAGUUCUAGAAAUGUCUAGAUGUAGAUUUAGAUCUAGAUUAUAAUAUAGUUUAUAGUUAUAGUUCUAGACUCUUUAAUAUAGAAUAGAGAGUCAACUUCUAUUACAACUUAGACAAAAUCGAACUGUCCAGAAUUAUGUUCAAUCAAAUUAUAGGUCUCCAGAGUCUGUCAUUCCUAAUAACAUAGACAUAGUUGAUGACCAAUCACAAUCUCCUGAUAUAGCACCUUUGAUAGAUUUAAAUUUUUCAUUUGAAUCAAAUGACAAUGAUGCAAGAAAUGUUUCUGCAAAUAUGCCUAGUUUAGAUAGUGAUGAUCUUGAGAAUAUUUCUUUUAGUUUUUUCGAAAGCAAGGAAAAUGGGUCUAUGAUUGAUUUUGAUUCUAUUUAUAAUUCAUCGGAGUCAGAAGAUGAUUCAGAUAGUAAUGAUGAUUUUAAAUUAGUCCUCAAAAGGUGGGCGUUAAAUAACCGAAUAACCCACAAUGCUUUAAAAGACUUGCUUUUGGUUUUGAGAAGGUUCACCCAUUUUGACUUACCUAUAGAUCCUCGUAUUUUGCCGGGUACAAAAGUAGUAGAAGGCAUAAAAGAAAAAACAGGCGGGCUUUAUUAUCACUUUGGUGUUAGCAAUGGCCUAAAUCAGCUUUUAAAAGAAAAUCCUGAACUAAUGGCUUCAAAUACAGUUUAUCUCCAAAUAAAUAUUGAUGGUUUGCCGUUGUUUAAGAGUAAUUCUUUGCAGUUGUGGCCAAUUUUAGGUUUGAUUUUGCAGUCUAAUGCUCCAUAUACAGAGCCAUUGUCAUAGGUGUAUUUUCUGGGAAUAAAAAACCAACUGAUGUUAAUGAGUUUUUAAAAGGAUUUGUGGAUGAAAUGCUAGUUUUAUCAAAAGAUGGUUUAAAUUUUAAUGGGCAUCAUUUAAAUGUUACAAUUAAAAAAAAUAAAUAUUUGUGACACUCCUGCUCGCUCUUUUGUUAAAUGUGUUAAAUCCCACAAUGGUUACUCUGGUUGUGACAAAUGUAUUACAGAGGGUACAUACAUGGAAGGUAGGAUGACCUUUCCUGAUUUAAAAGCAUCCCUCAGAAAUGAUAUGUUUGAUGAAAAGCUUGAUGAAGAGCAUCAUAGGGGUGAUUCUAUUCUUUCUUCUUUAGGAUUAGAAUGUGGGCUGUGGUGACAGGCAAGGUGGUCGACGUAGAAGACUGGAGACAGAUGCUGUUGGAGAGUUGGUCUGGCAUGGUGACAGCCAGGCAAUGGGUACAGCCUCUGCUUCUUCUGUUUCAUUGAAAUUAGCCACAGACCACAUUCUAGACAAUUAUUAAAUUAGUGCUUAAUAAAUAUGUAUGGUUACAACAUUCGUUUUCUGCUCCUAGCCUAAUUUUUUAAAUGACUUUUUUUCAACGUUUAUAAUUAAAUUUAUUUUUAAAAUUGUUAUUUUCUGUUGUAGAUGAAUAAUUUUGUAAAAAUAAUUAUUACUUUUUUAUUAUGUAUACAAUUUUUUAUUUUUGUGCAAAACAUUUUUUUAUUCAGUUAUUAAAAUUUUACAUUUUCUUUUUUUUUUUUGUACAUUAAUAUUUUAUUGUAUCCUUGAUGAUUGUAAGCUUUAAAUAUGUAAAUAUUUAUAAUUAACUUUUUAUUUUUAACUUUAUUUUUAUUGUCUUAAAUUAGAGGUUAUGUUUAUUACGCACACUGAUAUAGGUGUAUUUCUAUUUUAUUAUAUUAAAUACUAUUUUUGUUUGUGUCCAAAGUUUUUUUUUCCUGUAUUUUUUUAAAAUCUCAGUCAAAAUUUCUAAUUUAAUAGUUUGAUGAAAAUAGUAGUUUUUCUUAAAUGAGACAUAACUUUUAACAUUACAUUUUUUUUUCUAUUUUACUGUUAUUUUUGUGUCUCGCAUACAUUAAAAAAAUUUUUUCACUGUUUAAUUAAAUUUUGUAUUAGCUUUAUUAAGUUCGAAUUUUAUAAUACAAGUUUUAUUUGAUUCUGGCAUCAUCAUUUUUUAAUAAUAAAUAAAUCUUUAAAAUGAAUUACAUUUUAUUUUUUAUUUCAUUUUUAUACUUGGUAUGAGUGUGAAAUACAUCAAUUCAACCUGUGUUUAGAAAUAAUAUAAUAAAAAAAAAUUAACACUUCAUUGUAUGUUUUAUAAAAGUGCAUCAGGAAACCUAAUAAAACCUUAAUUUUAAUUACUAUUUAAUAAUUAAAAGUAUGGAACAAGUGUUCUAAGUGCAGUAAAGUAUCAAAGGUUAUCCCUAACUAAACCAUAAGGACUAAUACCGAUAAUGGCACAAUAAGGGUUAUCCCCAAUUGAGCCCUAAUAAAUAUUUCAAUUACUAAACCAUUGGGGCCAGCAUCGGCAUGAAAUUGGCCCAAUAAGGGUUAUCCCCAAUUGAGCCUUAAUGAAUAUUUCAUUUACUAAACCAUUUUGCUUUUAGGCACAUCGGCACAAUUUAGGCCAUGUCGUGCCUGGAGUCCCUUAAGGACUACUCUCUCUCUAAACAACAAGGGCCAAAUUCUAUACAGUCAUAUCAUUAAAAUCAAGGGCUAUUCACAGUUAAAAUAGUAAAGGUAGUAAAAAUUUAAUUAUUUUGUAAAAAUCUAAUGUAAAUAGUACAUGUUCACAAAUUCAUAAAUCAGAUCUUCGUAGACAACCCCACCUCCCGGAUAAAGCCCAGUACCUUCCCAGGGUCGACAUUAUCAAAUAGUGUUUUUAAGUUAGUGGUUCUAAAAUAUUUCUCCCUGACAUCCUGGUAUCUGGGGCAAUCAACGAGGAUAUGUUCCACGGUGAGGCGAGAGUCACAGUACUCACAAAGUGGAGCUCCUCUCUCUUCAGUACAAAAGAGUGCGUGAUGUAGGUGUGGCCAAUCCUAAGUCUGGACAUGGUCGUGCUACCACGCCUUGUCACCCUUAGAUGUGGGCCGCCACCUGACAUCCGCCACAAUCUGCCUGAGUUUAUUGUCAGUCUCAGCCUCCCAUUGGUUCUGCCACUCUCGAUAGGUGGCAGAGGCAAUACUUUGUCUCAGGUCCGAGCAGGGAAUUUGGGUUCCUGACACGGCAUGAUUUAGGGCUUUCUUUGCUUCUCUGUCUGCGGCUUCGUUUCCCUCAAUGCCAAUAUGGGAGGUGACAUCCCUAUGGUCGGCUGUUAUUUGGUCCAAACAGCUUCAGGCUCUUAUGUACCAAUGGGAUGUCAGUCUUCAUCCGCCCCAAAGCUUGCAACGCAGAUUUGGAGUCGGAGCAGAUUAUAAAUUUCCUCCUUUCUGAUGCUUUAACGGCCAUAAGUGCAAGUGAUAUUGCAUGCUGUUCGGCCGUAAAGAUGGAGAAGCCAUCGGGGAGUCUACUGCAUUGCAAGCUUUUUCAUUCUUAUAUCCAUGGGGAGUUCUCCAGCCUCCACAUGAAGACUUGGGAUAGGUGAUGUACGAAACGCACCGAGACAGAGACGCAGGGCAGCAUUUUGUAUUGGUUCCAGUAUUUUUAGAUAAGACUUCCUUGCCGCUCCAUAUAUUAUGGAUCCGUAGUCGUAGCUUGGAUCAAAUUAGACUCCGAUAUAGCAGUAGCAAGGUAUCUCUGUCUGCUCCCCAGUCCGUAUGCCCUAGUCCGUAUGUCUGAGUACUCUAAGUAUGUUUAAUGACUUUUGGCAUAUCUUCUUAAGUUCCUUAAUGUGUGGGAGAAAAUUAUAUUUGGAAUCUAGGGUGAGGCCUAAAAAUUUUGUAGUUUUCACGACAGGGAUCUUCUUUUUGUGUAUAAAUAUUUCAGGGUCUGGGUGGAGUUUAUAGUGGAAUUGUGAGUUGUGCAGCAGAUGGUCUCUGAAAGAAGGCCGCGGGGUAGGCCUACACGUUUAAGGCCCAGAAGAGUUCCCUUGUAGAAGACAGACGUAGAAGACCAAAAAAAUCUUAAAUAGACCCUAGACAACUAAUAUCAGGUACUCAUUAGAGCUGCGAAAUAAAAAAAAAAUCAGUCUUUACCAGGAUUCUAACCCGGAAUCUCUGGUUCGGUAGCCAAGCGCUUUACCGCUCAGCCAUUGUGCCUCCUGUAUAUUUCAAUAUGUCCCCAAAACGAUUCAUUGAAUAAAAGAUUCUGUUGGUAAAAGCAGUAUCUACAUAGCUAAAGACUUAAGUAGAGUCCUAAUUGUUGUUGUUUAAUGCCACGUAUUGGUUGAUUUUCUAUGAAGAUGAACAAACCCAUUUUGAAAUUGUGGUGAUAGGUAUGAGUAGUUCUUGGCGUUAUCAUUACGCAAAAAAUGAAUUGAUAGAAGUGACAAACUUAAAUAACCAUAUUUUUUUUUUAAGCAUUUGUAACGAAUGCAUGUGUAGAAGUAUUUUGUAGAUAUUUUAGUUAGGUUAUACAUACUAAUGUUAUUUGUAAAAUGUUAUUAUUGAAUACAUUGUAUUUACACGUCUGUAUUUCUAUGUUAUUUUCAUGGAAAAGGGGGGGGGGCGCCAUGCCUACCUUGCCCCGGCACACGUUUUGCACAAAAACGCCUCUGUUGUAGAUCUAUCCAAAUCUAGAUGUCGGUAUGAUUGAUAACAUGUAAAUAAUUAUCGCUUCUCUAACACUACUGUUGUGACACGGUUACUAUGUGUGGUCAACCGUGACACACGGUCAAGUGUUGGGUACUGGAGAGUUAGGGGACUUGUGGGAAGUCACGAGAGUGUUGUAAACAAGAAGAAGGAAGUCAUCUAGUGGAGUUGUUUUGUAUAUAAUGUUAGCCUGGUAUAUAUGUUAUGUUGAAAUGCUUCACAAUUAAAAGGCACUUUAUACUUAAAGAGACUUGUUUCUUCACAACUACUAUUUUAGCUAUGAAUGGACCUUAUUUUUAAUAACUUAGCUGUAUAACAUAUAUUAAGCUCUUGGGCUAUAAAGGGGAAAUAACCCUUGAGGGAUUAUGGGCACGACAUGGUCUCAAUUUUGCUGAAAACCCAAAAUAUCUAAUACAGAUUUAUUAUUUGAAUUAUUCAAUGUUCAUUAUUUAGAUCUAGAUCUAAUAAUCAAAACAUUGUUACAGAAUAGUUAAGUUGGAUUAGUAGGCCAAUAUAGUUCUGGAUUUCAUUUAUGACUUAUCAGCUGCUUCAUAAGGAAAUAACCCCUUGUAGGCCUAAUAAGUGCUUUAUAGACAUAUAAUAACGAAUGCAUGAAUCCGGAAUCCAAACCGCGAAUCUAUUAAUGACAUUAAAGUUAUCAAUGAAAAAGUCUGAAAAUGUGGAAUAGUUUUUUAGUGUUGAUGAAAUAAUGAAGGUACAUUUGUAAAUCUUUUAUCUUGUCAAUAAAUAAUAAAUAUAGUUUUUUUUAAUAAGGACAUAGAUAUACUUAUAAUGCUUUUCAUUAACCGAUUUCUCCCCAAUGAUAAAAACAAUUCACUGCAUAACCUAGACAAAGAGAAACUUCACAGGUGUCCAAGCUAAUAAAAGUUUUAUUUAGAGUUGCUAAUUGAUAAAAUAAAAAUAAUAUGAUUAAAAAAAUCAUUCUUGGCCUUGUUAUACAGCCGUUUUUAUUAAUAAGUGAAGAGGAUGCUAUAGAGAAGAUUUAAAAUAAAAGUAUUACUAUCAACAAAACUUGUUCAAGCUGGUAAGCUUAUUAUUGUGUAAAUAAAAAGUAAUUCUAUGUAGUUCUUUUGAUUUUUAAUUAUUAGCUUAGCAUUUAUCAUGCAGUUUGCAUAAAUAGACAAAUAUCACAAAAAUGUCAAUGUCUACAAUUCCACAAUAACACAAGAAUAAACAACCACAAAAAUAUCUAAAAAAAAAUAAUUUAAGAAACACAAUUUUUAAAAAUUUAUAAAUAAUAAACAAUGAAGAUUAUUUUUUAAACAAAUGAAUGCCUGUUUCAACAGGCAAUAUCAUAAUGCAUUAAUACAUCCAUUCAUUUACAUUUAUCAACCUAAUGAUUUAAACCAUUUCUAAGAAAUCCAAGAAAUACACAAUGAAGAUGUGGGUCAAGUUAAAAGUUCCAUAACAUAGAUUUAGAUAUAAAUGUACAAUUAAAUCAUUUUCUGAUUUAGCAAAAUGGAAUGAUACAAAAAAGUAAGUGAAAUAAAAGCACUCCAUUGUAUUUCUACAUCUAAUUUUAUGUACUUAAUAGUAACAAUUUUAAAAUUAUAUCCUGAUUUUUUUGAUUUACAGAAGUACUUUGAAAUAUUUUAUAAAAGAGAGAGAGACCACAUCAAAUGCUGAUCUCCCUCUAGUUUAUUUAUACCUCUAUUAUUAUUUUAAAAAAAUGGAUAGUUUUAUUCUAUCCUUAUUUUUUUCAAAAGCCUCAGUAAUUCUGUUGUUUUUUUUUCUAACCUAGCCUACAACAUUUUAAAAUAAGUAGUUUAAAAGUGAACUGAAUUAUAUUUAACUUCAAAACUGUAAAAAAAGAAGUUACAAGAGAACGAAAGCAAAGACAAACACAAAAACUCUUUUGUUCCCCUGGCAAUCAAAUCAUUAAAUACAAUUGAACUAUCUGAUAUAAAGAUUUCACAUGUAAAUUUAGAGUGUGUCUCGUGUGAAUGUAUAUUUUGGUUUUCUAUAGUUAUGUUUUAUUUGGUGUAAUGCAUAAAUUGUAAGACAAAUUGUGUUAUGUUUAAUAAAGGUUAUUAUUAUUAUUA